This 790-nucleotide long non-coding RNA is filed under the name Homo sapiens (human). RNAcentral describes it as "HSALNT0032800". Lineage: Eukaryota; Metazoa; Chordata; Mammalia; Primates; Hominidae. The record is from RNAcentral.
CCUCCCUCGCUUUUGGAGCUCCGACCUCAGCUUCGCCUGCGAGCUGGGUUGUGUAAAGGCUGGUCAUUUUGGGGCGCUUAGGGGUGGGUGCCGGGGGGCGCGCUUUCCCUCGUGAAGGUCGCUCCAGGAGUCAUGCGUACAUUCGUUCAUUUUGCUCUGGACGCACUGAUGUUCCCGGCUCGCCGCCGUGCCGCAGUCACGAGGCUCUCCGAACGCCUUUCACUGUGUUUCUGUUUACAUUCGCGUCUGCAAGACCCGGCGGCGCGACCGAGGCCCGAACAGAUGGAGAUGGGCUGCCAUGUUGUGAGCUGCCCCAUGGGGAAGAGGCUCACAUGUGAGGAACUGAGGGAGGCCUCCAGAAAACAGCCAGUGAAGAACUGAGACCCUCAGUCCAAUAGCCUAUGAGGAACUGAAUCCUGCUGACAACCAUAUGAAUGAGCUUGGAAGCAGAUCCUUCCCCAGUGAAGCCUUCAUGUGAGACUGCAGCCCACUUGACACUUUGAUUUGUAGCUUGUGACAGACCCCAAGCCAGAAGAGUCAGGAAAUCCAAGCUAAUUCCUGUGCCAAAGGCUGGCUUAAGAGAGGGCCCACAAUGCAAUUCUGGCCUGUCUUCCUCUGCUGGAUGUCACCUUAUUUGAACUGGACACUUAGAACCAUGACAGCCAUCUGUGUCUAUGAGGGAGUGAGCCAGAGAACCAAGCUGACAUGUUGAAUAUGGACUUCUUUAAGGGCAUGAUGGCAAACAUCCUCAUUGUAAUUCCUUUGGAUGGAUCAUUUUGUGUCAGGAAUU